RNAcentral lists this long non-coding RNA (383 nucleotides) under Mus spicilegus (steppe mouse). RNAcentral's name for it is "lncRNA (ENSMSIG00000014922.1)". Lineage: Eukaryota; Metazoa; Chordata; Mammalia; Rodentia; Muridae. The record is from RNAcentral.
GGAACCCGAUGAUGUGCACAUUGUUUGACUUUUAUUAUUGACAGGUCCAGUUUUUCUGCAAGUCCCUCAGAUGCUUAAACCUCUUGAAAAGGACAUCGGACCAUGAUGCUCCUCUGGAUUAGAGGAUAAAUUCCAUUUUAAUUUCUUGGUAGAAUUCAGUAUUGAUCUUCUCACAGAGAGGCACACAGAGGCAGCAGGAUGAAAGCACUGCAACAUUAUCCCAGGAACGCUGUCCACUCACAGGGCUUCCCUAUGUCUUCCUCUACUCCGCUGGAAGCUUGACUUCAGCAGAUCUCAGGGCAUGCUUCCCUACUGGAAUAAGGCUUGAAACUGAACUAAAAGUUGGGCCGUUUUUUCCAUCACCUGAAGAACAGAAGAAUUAA